UACGGAGGGUGCGAGCGUUGUCCGGAAUCACUGGGCGUAAAGGGCGCGUAGGCGGCUUCUCAAGCGUGUGGUGAAAGUCCGGGGCUCAACCCCGGAUCGGCCGUGCGGACUGGGGAGCUCGAGUUCUGUAGAGGCGGGUGGAAUUCCGGGUGUAGCGGUGGAAUGCGUAGAGAUCCGGAGGAACACCGACGGCGAAGGCAGCGCCCUGGCCGACGACUGACGCUCAGGCACGAAAGCUGGGGGAGCAAACAGG
Molecule: ribosomal RNA, 253 nt
Filed under: uncultured bacterium
Lineage: Bacteria
Description: partial 16S ribosomal RNA
Rfam family: Bacterial small subunit ribosomal RNA
Source: RNAcentral